Molecule: ribosomal RNA, 253 nt
Filed under: uncultured bacterium
Lineage: Bacteria
Description: partial 16S ribosomal RNA
Rfam family: Bacterial small subunit ribosomal RNA
Source: RNAcentral
UACAGAGGGGGCAAGCGUUAUUCGGAAUUACUGGGCGUAAAGGGCGCGUAGGCGGACAGUUUAGUCAGAGGUGAAAGCCCAGGGCUCAACCUUGGAAUUGCCUUUGAUACUGACUGUCUUGAGUUCGGGAGAGGUGAGUGGAAUGCCGAGUGUAGAGGUGAAAUUCGUAGAUAUUCGGCGGAACACCAGUGGCGAAGGCGACUCACUGGCCCGAUACUGACGCUGAGGCGCGAAAGCAUGGGGAGCAAACAGG